GGUAGGAGAAGGCUCUGGAAAGUGCCGCCAUAGUGGGUGAUAGCCCCGUAUCCGAAACCUGAGUCUGGUGAAAUCGAGUAGGACGGGACACGUGAUAUCCUGUCUGAACAUGGGGGGACCAUCCUCCAAGGCUAAAUACUCCUGACUGACCGAUAGUGAACCAGUACCGUGAGGGAAAGGCGAAAAGAACCCCGGUGAGGGGAGUGAAAUAGAUCCUGAAACCGCGUACGUACAAGCAGUAGGAGCCUCUUUUAUGGGGUGACUGCGUACCUUUUGUAUAAUGGGUCAGCGAGUUAUUGUUAGUAGCAAGGUUAACCGUUUAGGGGAGCCGUAGG
This 335-nucleotide ribosomal RNA is filed under the name Oxyrrhis marina. Its description in RNAcentral is "partial Bacterial large subunit ribosomal RNA". It matches the Rfam family "Bacterial large subunit ribosomal RNA", at positions 328 to 672 of the family's 2925-position model. Lineage: Eukaryota; Dinophyceae; Oxyrrhinales; Oxyrrhinaceae. The record is from RNAcentral.